RNAcentral lists this ribosomal RNA (224 nucleotides) under uncultured Actinomycetales bacterium. Its description in RNAcentral is "partial 16S ribosomal RNA". It matches the Rfam family "Bacterial small subunit ribosomal RNA", at positions 107 to 334 of the family's 1533-position model. Lineage: Bacteria; Bacillati; Actinomycetota; Actinomycetes; Actinomycetales. The record is from RNAcentral.
UGAGUAACACGUGGGUGAUCUGCCCUGCACUUCGGGAUAAGCUUGGGAAACUGGGUCUAAUACCGGAUAGGACCGCACUUUAGUGUGUGUGGUGGAAAGUUUUUUCGGUGUAGGAUGAGCUCGCGGCCUAUCAGCUUGUUGGUGGGGUAAUGGCCUACCAAGGCGGCGACGGGUAGCCGGCCUGAGAGGGUGUACGGCCACAUUGGGACUGAGAUACGGCCCAG